RNAcentral lists this non-coding RNA (45 nucleotides) under Schistosoma margrebowiei. Lineage: Eukaryota; Metazoa; Platyhelminthes; Trematoda; Strigeidida; Schistosomatidae. The record is from RNAcentral.
AUCCAGUUGAUGAGUCCCAAAUAGGACGAAACUUGUGUCCUGGAU